This 256-nucleotide ribosomal RNA is filed under the name uncultured bacterium. Its description in RNAcentral is "partial 16S ribosomal RNA". It matches the Rfam family "Bacterial small subunit ribosomal RNA", at positions 521 to 776 of the family's 1533-position model. The record is from RNAcentral.
UAAUACGUAGGGUGCGAGCGUUGUCCGGAAUUAUUGGGCGUAAAGGGCUCGUAGGCGGUUUGUCGCGUCGGGAGUGAAAACCAGGUGCUUAACACCUGGCUUGCUUUCGAUACGGGCAGACUAGAGGUAUGCAGGGGAGAACGGAAUUCCUGGUGUAGCGGUGAAAUGCGCAGAUAUCAGGAGGAACACCGGUGGCGAAGGCGGUUCUCUGGGCAUGACCUGACGCUGAGGAGCGAAAGUGUGGGGAGCGAACAGG